This is a long non-coding RNA of Stegostoma tigrinum, 2283 nucleotides long. RefSeq lists it as uncharacterized. The transcript has 3 exons. Lineage: Eukaryota; Metazoa; Chordata; Chondrichthyes; Orectolobiformes; Stegostomatidae. The record is from RefSeq and is a predicted model, not a curated record.
UUUCUCCAGAGCCAUUGUUUCCAGGAGAACAGUUGAUCAAGUGCCAAAUGCUGGAGGGCUGUUCACUUUCCGAUGGAGUUUGAUUGCAGCGAUCAACAUAAAUUCAUCAAUUCAUUUCAGGAGCCUAGUUACUACUGUUAACACAAUUAAAUGAGGCAACACAGGAAACGUUAAGUAUGGAAAGUCAAAAGAACUCAACUUGGAAGGGAGAACCGGAUUUCCACCUUAGCCUGAGAUUAUAUGUUGGUGACAGGAAAUAAAAUGAACUCCUUAAGAAUUUGAGAUGAGAGAUGCUGAAGUGGAUCCAUGCAAGCCACCAAGCAAUUGAGUCAAUUGAGGCAAAAGAUGUCCUUUCCUGGCCAAACAUGAGCAAUAAAACCAAGACAACAUCAGCCAGUGCAGUGCUCAUCACGAAUGCCAACCUAAGCAAGUCAGAGAGCCACUGAAUGACACAUGACAUCCCAGGCUGACCAUGGUUAUCGCUGGGAAUAGAUUUCUUUGCAUUUGCCAGAACGGAUUAUCUUGUCAUCAUAGACUAUUAUUCCAAAUAUUGGAAGAUGGAUCAGCUGAUAUCAAUGACAACUACAGAGAUUAUCAAAUACCAAAAGUAAAACACAGCCAUUAUGGAAUUCCUGACAUUGUGAUGAGCAACAAUGGCCCUCUGUUCACAAGUGAAGAAUUCAACCCCUUCAUAAAUCUCAUUUUCAUAAGACUGCCAACUAUUGCCAGAAUUGAACAUGACGGAGCGGAUGAGGCACAAACCUUCAAUGAUCUCAACAAAUGAUCUCAACUGACAUACCAAUUUGGGACUUGAAUAAAGCAAUUGCCAUCUUGAUAGUAUGUGAUUGAAAUGAAUGACCAGAUGUACCAUUGCAAUUACAGGCUUAUAACCAAACUGGAGAAGCUAUUCUUUCAUUACAGGUGACUGAUCAGAACGAGAUGAAUUAACCAUGUGCAGAGCACCUAGAUUAGCUAGCAGAUCCAGAAGAUACACAACAACUAACAGUGGAAAUGGAACAAUAGCAGCAGAUACCUCACAACAGCCAACGACAUAAGAAUAAUACUCACUAGGGAAGACCAUGAAUCAAAUUUCCAGUGUAAUUAACAAGGAUGUAUCCUCCACAUGAAAGAAAACAUGCAAAUUCGGUUCACCAGAAUGGUGCAAAAUGUUGAAAAUAUCAUCUCAGCACUAUUUUCAUUGUUUUACUGUUUUAAAGUAAAAAGUGUACUUAUGCCUUCAUACAGAGCUGUUACUGCUUCAAAUCCACCAAACACAAGUUGGAUUAGAUACCCAGUCAAGUUCAUUUUCUUUUUAUUUUGGUUGAAUUGUAAACUUAACAGAUAAAAGCCAUAAUACACAAGAUUGGUAUCACAUUUUGUUUUAGCGAGAGAUGUUUAUCCAAAAUGUUAUGGAAAUUAGCUUUGUUGGAAAUAAUCAAUAUUUCAAACACCAUCCAAAUCACCUUUAAGAAAAGAUGUUAUACAAAAAUAUUUUUAAAAAGAUCAUAUGGACUAAUAAAACUUUAUGUUGAACCUUUAAACAAAGGACACUUUGUGAAAGAGAAGGCAGAGGUAACAAUAAUAUCAACUUUGUAGCUGAAAGGAACAGAUAGCUUGGAUGUCUUCUUACUUUGGAAAACAUUUUUUUAAAAAAGGCCUAGUUUGUGGGUUGAAUAAAACUGUUAUAGUUUGAACUCAGAAAAUUUGAGGGGGAAGAAAAAGCAAACUUCUGGAGAAACUCCGCCAGUCUAGCAACAUCUGUGGAGAGAAAGCAGAGUUAACAUUUCCAGUCCAGUGACUCUUCAAGAGAUUCUUUUGUUUCAGAUCUUCAGCAUCCGUAGUUCUUGCUUACUUUGGAGAAAUGUUAAGGCCUGUCUGAGAAGUAAUAGUCCAUUGUAGCCUUUGUCUGCAAUACCUCUCAGGAAAAUAUGAGUUGAAAGCCCACCUGAAAUCAGUUUAAUCAUUCAUGGAGAAUUUCUAGUGAUUUGUUUUUGGAAUCUACUCACUGUCUCCAGCAAAAGGAUUUCAGCCAGCUGCAACUGUUCCAAGGAAACACCAGUACCAGAAGUUUGUGGAUGCAGAACAACUUCAAACACGGACUACCAUUUAGGACAAUGAGUGACUUAUCCUUUUAUAAUGAGAGUAAAAUUUACUUGACCAAAAUACUUUAAAUAACUGGCGGAAUUUUCAUUUUUUAUUUGUUUUUUUUAAACCAGGCUUGACUAUGUUUGUAUGUUAGUUUCCUUUUCUUUUAAAUAAAGGUAUGUAAAAUCAAACCUAUUU